This 640-nucleotide long non-coding RNA is filed under the name Pan troglodytes (chimpanzee). Its description in RNAcentral is "long non-coding RNA NONPTRT001309". Lineage: Eukaryota; Metazoa; Chordata; Mammalia; Primates; Hominidae. The record is from RNAcentral.
GAGGAUAAGAACUAAAUGUGGUCCCAGACAAGAUCCUGGAACAGAAAAUGAACACUAAGGGAAAACUAAGGAAAUAUGAACAAGGAGAUUCCAUGAAAGGAGAAAGGCUGGCACAGCUGGUUGUUCUAUGGCCACGAGGAGAAGCAUGACAAGAGAGAAGAGAUGCCACUAGAUGAAAAGAACUCUGCAGAGAAGAGUGGAGGCCCAAACUGGGAAGUUAGCUGUAGCAGCUGAUGUCACAAAGCCUGGCUGAGGACCAAAGAGAAACAGGUUCAUUUGGAAGUUCGUAUCUGAGCAGACUGGCUCAACCAGAAGUCCAGAAAAGUGUGGACCAGCUUCAACAGGACAGCACUAACACAGACUACUGCAGUCUCUGCACAGAGAGGCCUAAAGGAGAGGUCAUAGCAGUACUCUGCAGGUAACACUCCAUUUCCAACGAGCAGAGAAUCCCAAAGGAGGUGAUUUAGGGAUGAUCUCCAUCAGCCCUAGAGAGGGAUCGUCGUGGUCAGGAGACCCAGUUUUAGAGCCCGAAUCCUGGCCAUUCAUUGCCUAUGUGACCAGGUUACUGAGUCUCCUCUUCAUAAAGUAAUUAUGAGGAUUCAGUGAGUUGCUACAGGCAAAACGCUUAGAACAGCGCCUG